GGGUCAGUAGGUUGGUCGUGCCACCGGUACGUACUGGUCUCACUGAUUCCUCCUUCCUGAAGAACCGUAAUGCCAUUAAUUUGGUGUUGCGGGGAAACAGGACUGUUACUUUGAAAAAAUUAGAGUGUUUAAAGCAGGCUAACGCUUGAAUACAUUGGCAUGGAAUAAUGAAAUAGGACGAUCGAUCCUAUUUUGUUGGUUUCUAGGAUUGACGUA
This 216-nucleotide ribosomal RNA is filed under the name Glomeromycotina sp. RNAcentral describes it as "partial small subunit ribosomal RNA". The stretch from base 40 to 216 matches the Rfam family "Eukaryotic small subunit ribosomal RNA", at positions 686 to 864 of the family's 1831-position model. The record is from RNAcentral. Lineage: Eukaryota; Fungi; Glomeromycota.